AGCGAACGCUGGCGGCAGGCUUAACACAUGCAAGUCGAGGGGAGCGGCAGACGGGUGAGUAACGCGUGGGAACGUACCUUUUGGUUCGGAACAACACAGGGAAACUUGUGCUAAUACCGGAUACAGAAAGAUUGGCCCGCGUCUGAUUAGCUAGUUGGUGAGGUGAUGGCUCACCAAGGCGACGAUGCGUAGCUGGUCUGCGAGGAUGAUCCGGCACAUUGGGACUGAGACACGGCCCAAACUCCUACGGGAGGAAGCGGUGGGGAAUAAUGGACAAUGGGGGCAACCCUGUUCCAGCCAUGCCGCGUGGGUGAUGAAGGCCCUAGGGUUGUAAAGCUCUUUUGUGCGGGAAGCGGUACCGCAAGAAUAAGCCCCGGCUAACAUCGUGCCAGCAGCCGCGGUAAUAC
Molecule: ribosomal RNA, 407 nt
Filed under: uncultured bacterium
Lineage: Bacteria
Description: partial 16S ribosomal RNA
Rfam family: Bacterial small subunit ribosomal RNA
Source: RNAcentral